UUUGUUUAAAUUUGUUCUUAUAAAUUUCAUUUUUAUGUGAGCAAGAUUCUGAUAAAAAGGUGCAGCUUUAUGAUUUUCUUUUGUAAUUACUCGUAUUCCCUUGUGCUUUUGAAAACCAGAAGUUGUCUGACGAGUGCUCAUUAUGGUUAUGAUGCCCCAAUUCCUUUCAUUUUACUUGAAUUUUAUAUAUUUAUAUCUUAUAUAUUUCAGAUUCAAUUUUUUCUGUACCUUUAGCAUAGUGACAAUAUAUGAUUGUGUGUUGGUGAUUUUUUGAAGCUGAACAGAAAAGAGAAGAAAUGGGUUAGGGCUGAGAGGGAUAAGUAAAAAUAGCUGGUCUGGUUAUCCCAGCACAAAUUAUCUAACCAAAGAAACAGGCGUGGCACAGAGAUCAGAAGAUAGCCAAUUAAGUUCUGCAUGAAAAUUCAUAUACGUACUGGUUGAUGGAAAUGUAAGUGGUCAGAUCCUUAGAGAUUUCAUAUAUCUGCCCAGUUGCAUGUCGGAAGCAUUUGUUACCCUCUUCACCAAACUUCCAAUACUCAGGUUCAUGGUAUUUGAUAUCCCUAUAAUACAAAACAAAGCCAAACAUUAAUACAAAGCCACAAUGAGGGGCAUAGAAGAGGAGAACCCUCUUUCCUAAUAUUUUAAGCACAUACAUAGAAGUCCAGUGGAUUUACUUUCUUGAAAGGACAGGUGAUGAUUUCAUACACCCAAUGUAGACCCUGGGUUUUGAUCUAUGACGAUCAAGGGUUGUUGCUAGGACACCAAAACAGCAGCACAUGUUACAAUGUUAAAUCUUAUUUGGGAGAGAAAUAGGAUAGAGGAGGAAAAAAUGGCAAGGAAACACAAGAAAGAAAACAAGAAUCAUGAAAUAGCAUAUACGUAUACCUAAAUUGACGUGGACAUCAUCAUCCACCUUGACAUAGAAAUCAACAUCCAUUUUGCAACUGUAGUAGAAAAAGAAUUUUUUUGUCUUUGCAGAUAGCUCACGGUACCCUUCAGUGUGUUCCUACAAGAUAAUGUGGAAUCAAAUAUCACACUCCUGCCAGAUUAUCCAAUGUUUUUCUCACACAAUUUU
This is a non-coding RNA of Cajanus cajan (pigeon pea), 1075 nucleotides long. Lineage: Eukaryota; Viridiplantae; Streptophyta; Magnoliopsida; Fabales; Fabaceae. The record is from RefSeq and is a predicted model, not a curated record.